GGCUAUAAGGUGGGUUAAAGUGCCAAUG
Molecule: small RNA, 28 nt
Filed under: Bombyx mori (domestic silkworm)
Lineage: Eukaryota; Metazoa; Arthropoda; Insecta; Lepidoptera; Bombycidae
Description: ovarian small RNA-17456
Source: RNAcentral